This 300-nucleotide ribosomal RNA is filed under the name uncultured Solirubrobacterales bacterium. Its description in RNAcentral is "bacterial SSU rRNA". It matches the Rfam family "Bacterial small subunit ribosomal RNA", at positions 114 to 408 of the family's 1533-position model. The record is from RNAcentral. Lineage: Bacteria; Bacillati; Actinomycetota; Thermoleophilia; Solirubrobacterales.
CACGUGAGUAACCUGCCCCGAUGACCGGGACAACCCGAGGAAACUCGGGCUAAUACCGGAUGUGGUGACUUGGCCUAAGCCUUGUCACUAAAGGAAGCUUCGGCCUCCGCAUUGGGAUGGGCUCGCGGCCCAUUAGCUUGUUGGUGGGGUAACGGCCUACCAAGGCAACGAUGGGUAGCUGGUCUGAGAGGACGAUCAGCCACACUGGGACUGAGACACGGCCCAGACUCCUACGGGAGGCAGCAGUGGGGAAUAUUGCACAAUGGGCGAAAGCCUGAUGCAGCCAUGCCGCGUGUGUGA